UUCAACGCUAGACCCAAUCCCCCUCACGGUUAUCCAAGCUGGCGGCUUAUAUUGGCAUAGUAUACGCUGUAAGUACCUCAUAAAAUCGUGCAUUUUUGGUGAAAAGCUCUACAAUGCGCAUGAGACACGCUUGGGAGAUUUCGGCAAUGAGAAAUCCUUUAACCGAUUUUUACUAAAGGACAGAGUUUUAGCAGUGCGGAACAUUACCAUUUUUGGUUAUAUUUGAUAAACAAUCUGAUUAACCAAUCAGAGAUGAGUAUUUCUAUGCCCAGUCUCACGCGGACACGCCUCAACUCAGAGUUGAAAAACAAAAUGGCGGUGCAGUUGAAUCGGGAAAAUCAUGUUGAACCCUGCUUUUUAACUAUCUGCUAGCAGUGAUUUCUUCUUAUCUGUUUAAGCAGGGAUUUCACCGACUCAGUGCGUCAUAUAUACCCUAUUUGUGUUGUUUCUCAUCGGCAACAGACCUCAUUUGCAGGGUUAUUUUUACGACUUCACCGAAUCGUACUGUAAUGAACGCGGAAGGGUUCUAACACCAAGUUGGAGCCAUUGAGGGUGUAUUUCAUUGUGUGUGCAGACAAAUGGAAAAAGGCAUAAAGUGUAAACUGGGGUGAGAAAAAGGCAUGGUAAGGGCAAAGGGGUGGUGACUAAUGGUAUGUCUAAUUGGGGGUGCUGACACAGGUUGUGAAGAUGAAGUAAACUUGUACCAUGUUUGAUUACUAGGCCUUGGAGAUAAUAGGAGAAUGGGAGUAUAGUCAUACCCUGGGUACCAGAGGCUCCAAGCUUCACUAGAGCAGAUAUCAUAUGGAAAAUAUCUAUUCAUAUUUGGUGAUACUUCAGGCUUAUUUUUUUUCUCGCCAGUCUCUAUUAUAUGCACAAAGAGUCUUUUUUUAUAUAUAUAAAGGGAAUUAAAUUAAUUUGAUUUGAUAGGCAAGUCUGAGUGUUGAAGCUCCCCUUUAAAACUAUAGUGAUAUUAAAAA
This is a long non-coding RNA of Nematostella vectensis (starlet sea anemone), 977 nucleotides long. RefSeq lists it as uncharacterized. NCBI's taxonomy places the organism in Eukaryota, Metazoa, Cnidaria, Anthozoa, Actiniaria, Edwardsiidae. The transcript has 2 exons. The record is from RefSeq and is a predicted model, not a curated record.